Magallana angulata is the source of this 490-nucleotide long non-coding RNA. RefSeq lists it as uncharacterized. The transcript has 3 exons. NCBI's taxonomy places the organism in Eukaryota, Metazoa, Mollusca, Bivalvia, Ostreida, Ostreidae. The record is from RefSeq and is a predicted model, not a curated record.
UUGGUACAUUACUUUGAAGCAUAAACAACAUUAUUCACCACACGGUACAAGGCUGUCUUCAUUACCCAUUACCUUUAUUCCUCCCAAAAUUCCAAGAUGCAGAGAUUCAUCGUGGUCAUCGCCCUGAUUGUUCUUCUCCAUGAUGUUCAUGGACAAGAAGCUGUAAACUCGGGAGUAUGUCCGAGUUCGACCCCGACAGUCAGUGGAAAAUGUCAGUCAGACUGCAACUUUGACACAGACUGUGGUAUAAACCUAAAAUGCUGCCUUCAUAAUUGUAACAACGGCAAGACUGCAAUGAAAUGCAUCCAGGGCGCCAUCGAACUGCAAUUAAUUUAAUUGAUGUGUGGAUCUCGACGAUGUACACCUUCUCAAUAAAGUAUUUCAUAUCCGAUAAUUGAUGGUGUUGAUAUGUUUUGUGAUGUUAAGUAAAACUUAAGCUUAUGCACUGCUUUCAAUUUACAGUUUCAACAGGUACAUAUAUUCAUACUAC